UACAGAGACUGCAGGCGUUAUUCGGAUUCACUGGGCGUAAAGGGUGCGCAGGCGGCCAAGUGUGUGAGGCGUGAAAGCCCGGGGCUUAACCCCGGAAUUGCACCUCAAACUACAUGGCUAGAGCAUUGGAGAGGGUAGCAGAAUUCAUGGUGUAGCAGUGAAAUGCGUAGAUAUCAUGAGGAAUACCAGAGGCGAAGGCGGCUACCUGGACAAUUGCUGACGCUCAGGCACGAAAGCGUGGGGAGCAAAAGGG
RNAcentral lists this ribosomal RNA (253 nucleotides) under uncultured bacterium. RNAcentral describes it as "partial 16S ribosomal RNA". It matches the Rfam family "Bacterial small subunit ribosomal RNA", at positions 524 to 776 of the family's 1533-position model. The record is from RNAcentral.